Molecule: long non-coding RNA, 1348 nt
Filed under: Salmo salar (Atlantic salmon)
Lineage: Eukaryota; Metazoa; Chordata; Actinopteri; Salmoniformes; Salmonidae
Description: lncRNA (ENSSSAG00000120219.1)
Source: RNAcentral
GAAUUGUUGGUUAGGGGCUUGUAAGUAAGCAUUUCACUGUAAGGUCUACACCUCUUGAGUCACAGACGUGAUCUUCAUGUGCGGGUUGGCGCUCCCCCUUGGGUUGUGCCGUGGGGAAGAUCUUCGUGGGCUAUACUCGGCCUUGUCUCAGGAUGGUAAGUUGGUGGUUGGAGAUGUUGUGUUGGAAAAGUGAGUGGGUGGGGUUAUAUCCUGCCUGUUUGGCCCGGUCCGGGGGUAUCGUCGGAUGGGGCCACAGUGUCUCCCGACCCCUCCUGUCUCAGCCUCCAGUAUUUAUGCUGUAAUAGUUAAUGUGUUGGGGGGCUAGGGUCAGUCUGUUAUAUCUGGAGUAUUUCUCCUGUCUUAUCCGGUGCCCUGUGUGAAUUUAAGUAUGUUCUCUCUAAUUCUCUCUCUCUAAUUCUCUCUCUCUUUCUUUCUUUCCUUCUUUCCUUCUUUCUUUCUCUCUGUUGGAGGACCUGAGCCCUAGGACCAUGCCUCAGGUUUACCUGGCCUGAUGACUCCUUGCUGCUCCUCGUCCACCUGGUCGUGCUGCUGCUCCAGUUUCAACUGUUCUGCCUGUGGCUAUGGAAUCCUGACCUGUUCACCGGAUGUGCUACCUGUCCCAGACAUGCUGUUUUCAAGUCUCUAGAGACAGCAGGAGCGGUAGAGAUACUCUGAAUGAUCGGCUAUGAAAAGCCAACUGACAUUUACUCUUGAGUGAGACAACACGACAGUGUUGUUUAGAAGAAGGCUGUGGCGUCCUCCUGAAGUGGACUGACUCCUCCUGGUUUCAAUAUGGCUCUCUAUACUGUCUGUAGUCCAGAGGAGUUCUCCCUAGCUGCAGUGGGCAGUCAGAUCAAGGGGACUGGCUCUCCCUGCACUCGCAAUGAAGCGUACUACCACUGGGCUCAGCUGUUUGUAAUACUGGCUGAGCAGCCCGGACUGCUAUACACGUACAUAAUGCCACAUGCUCCAGCAAGCCCAGAGGAGAAGAGCGAGACGGAGGCCCUUCUAGGGGGAGAAGAUACAUCUAAUGUACUACAAUCUACUGCUGUGAUAGGGAAACUUUGGAAGCAAUAGAACGGCUAGUCUUAUCAUCUUAAAUUGAUUGUGUGUCCAGUUUAUGCUCGGCUAUUGCUAUCUUCUAGAUAUUAGUACACUCUUAGAAAAAAAGGCUUCCAAAAGUGUGUUUCGGCUGUCCCCAUAGGAGAACCCCAUUUGGUUCCAGGUAGAACCCAUCUGUGGAAAGGGUUCUACAUGGAACCCAAAAGGGUUAUUCAAAGGCUUAUCCUAUGGGGACAGCUGAAGAAACCUGUUGGGUUUUAGCUAGCAGCCUUUUUUUCUCUAAGAG